AUUGAACGCUGGCGGCAGGCCUAACACAUGCAAGUCGAACGGUAACAGGAAGAAGCUUGCUUCUUUGCUGACGAGUGGCGGACGGGUGUGUAAUGUCUGGGAAACUGCCUUAUGGAGGGGGAUAACUACUGGAAACGGUAGCUAAUACCGCAUAACGUCUCAAGACCAAAGAUGGGGACCUUCAGGCCUCUUGCCAUCGGAUGUUCCCAGAUGGGAUUAGCUAGUAGGUGGGGUAACGGCUCACCUAGGCGACGAUCCCUAGCUGGUCUGAGAGGAUGACCAGCCACACUGGAACUGAGACACGGUCCAGACUCCUACGGGAGGCAGCAGUGGGGAAUAUUGCACAAUGGGCGCAAGCCUGAUGCAGCCAUGCCGCGUGUAUGAAGAAGGCCUUCGGGUUGUAAAGUACUUUCAGCGGGGAGGAAGGGAGUAAAGUUAAUACCUUUGCUCAUUGACGUUACCCGAAGAAGAAGCACCGGCUAACUCCGUG
Molecule: ribosomal RNA, 490 nt
Filed under: uncultured bacterium
Lineage: Bacteria
Description: partial 16S ribosomal RNA
Rfam family: Bacterial small subunit ribosomal RNA
Source: RNAcentral